This 657-nucleotide ribosomal RNA is filed under the name Euphorbia gracillima. Its description in RNAcentral is "eukaryotic LSU rRNA". The stretch from base 270 to 426 matches the Rfam family "5.8S ribosomal RNA". Lineage: Eukaryota; Viridiplantae; Streptophyta; Magnoliopsida; Malpighiales; Euphorbiaceae. The record is from RNAcentral.
UCGAAACCUGCCCAGCAGAACGACCCGUGAACAUGUUCAUAAAAUGAGGGGUCCAGAGCGGGCUUCUGCCGGCACUGGCUCUUCACAAGGCCUUGAUCGGGGGAUAAAGGCGUGUAGGCCUUGCCUUCCCCUGACAUGCCUCGAUCUUGGCCCCUAACAAAACCCCGGCGCGGAAAGCGCCAAGGAAUCAGUAUAUAAAAAGAUCGGCCGCCCCGAUUGCCCCAGAAAUGGUGCGCAAAAGGGAUGUGUCGUGAUUUGAGAAUCUAAACGACUCUCGGCAACGGAUAUCUCGGCUCUCGCAUCGAUGAAGAACGCAGCGAAAUGCGAUACUUGGUGUGAAUUGCAGGAUCCCGCGAACCAUCGAGUUUUUGAACGCAAGUUGCGCCCGAAGCCUUUUUGGCCGAGGGCACGUCUGCCUGGGUGUCACUCAUCCGUCGCCCCAACCCCUCCUUAUUUUAAGGAAGGGGUGUGAAUCGGGCGGAAUAUGGCCUCCCGUUUGCUGUAUUCGCAUGCGGUUGGCCCAAAUUUCCGGUCCCCGGCAUCAACGCCACGGCAAUCGGUGGUUGUGUGACCCUCGCUUAAUGCUGUGAGCGAUGCGGUGCCGAUGUGACCUACGAGGCCCCAAAGUGCAUCGUAAGAUGCGCUCGUAAUGCGACC